RNAcentral lists this long non-coding RNA (481 nucleotides) under Nicotiana benthamiana. RNAcentral describes it as "long non-coding RNA (NBEN_LNC027320)". The record is from RNAcentral. Lineage: Eukaryota; Viridiplantae; Streptophyta; Magnoliopsida; Solanales; Solanaceae.
UGGAUGUCUUGGGAGGGGCAACAGCUGGAACCAUGCAUGGUUUCCCUUCCAAGAUCAUCAACAUGUUGAAUCUAGGGAACGGAACUGCAUUGUACUGUCGAAGGAAUUCCAUACCUAGAACAAUGGUGAAAUCGUCUAUUGUUGCCACCGAGAAGUCCACCCUGCCUGACUAGUCGCCAAGCCUCAACUCGGUCCCUGUUGCUACGCCAUCCACAGGUUUGGCCUGGGCAUUUACGGUCUUGAUCCAACCCUUGGAGUAUGUCACCUUGAGACCCAACCGUUCCACCUCGGUUGGAGUCAUGAAAUUAUGAGUGGCGCCCGUAUCAAUCAUUAUGUGGACGACCUUGUUGUUGACGUGCCCCUGCACGUACAUGAGACUCCUAUCACCCGCCUGGUGAGGAGUGGGCUUAACGUUCAGUGCGCUAAGCAGCUUCAGACAUCCCAUGGAAGCUUCGUUGCCAUGCUCCCUGUUGCUCCAACA